AACCAAUCAUACUGUAGACAUAUUUUAAUCUACAUUCAUAGUAUUCAAUGUUUAUAUAGUAAAUAAUUAUUGUACCAAAAUGUGGCUUAUAUAAAUAGCAAAUUAUGAUGAUAUACAAAUCAUUCAUUUAACAGAAAAAAAUUUGUGUAAUGUCAUCUGUUGGAAUAUAUAUUAAGUAUUACACAUGGACAGGAUGUUCCCCAUAAAAGUAAGGUAUUCCACACCCCAGAGUACACGCAACUGUCAAAUAGAAAUUACUGAUUUACCUGUACUUAGCCAUACAACUUAUCAGUUGACCGACC
RNAcentral lists this long non-coding RNA (302 nucleotides) under Mytilus galloprovincialis (Mediterranean mussel). The record is from RNAcentral. Lineage: Eukaryota; Metazoa; Mollusca; Bivalvia; Mytilida; Mytilidae.